RNAcentral lists this ribosomal RNA (483 nucleotides) under uncultured bacterium. Its description in RNAcentral is "partial 16S ribosomal RNA". It matches the Rfam family "Bacterial small subunit ribosomal RNA", at positions 30 to 506 of the family's 1533-position model. The record is from RNAcentral.
AUUGAACGCUGGCGGCAGGCCUAACACAUGCAAGUCGAGCGGAUGAAGGGAGCUUGCUCCUGGAUUCAGCGGCGGACGCGUGAGUAAUGCCUAGGAAUCUGCCUGGUAGUGGGGGAUAACGUCCGGAAACGGGCGCUAAUACCGCAUACGUCCUGAGGGAGAAAGUGGGGGAUCUUCGGACCUCACGCUAUCAGAUGAGCCUAGGUCGGAUUAGCUAGUUGGUGGGGUAAAGGCCUACCAAGGCGACGAUCCGUAACUGGUCUGAGAGGAUGAUCAGUCACACUGGAACUGAGACACGGUCCAGACUCCUACGGGAGGCAGCAGUGGGGAAUAUUGGACAAUGGGCGAAAGCCUGAUCCAGCCAUGCCGCGUGUGUGAAGAAGGUCUUCGGAUUGUAAAGCACUUUAAGUUGGGAGGAAGGGCAGUAAGUUAAUACCUUGCUGUUUUGACGUUACCAACAGAAUAAGCACCGGCUAACUUCGU